This 825-nucleotide non-coding RNA is filed under the name Syneta adamsi. The record is from RNAcentral. Lineage: Eukaryota; Metazoa; Arthropoda; Insecta; Coleoptera; Chrysomelidae.
AAGUAUUAAUAAAAUUUAUAUGUUUACAUUUUUUGUAUUUUUUAUUAAAGUUUUAUUUUGGCUUAAAAGAUUAAGUUUAACUUUAUUAUUAUAUGUAAGAUUUAACAAAAAUAAUAUUAAUUUUAAAUAAAUUAAUAUUUUAUAUUAAGCAGUAAUUAAUUUUUAAAUAAUAAAUAAUUUUAGUUUUAGUAAUAUAUAAUAAUAUUAACAAAAUUUGUGCCAGCAGUUGCGGUUAUACUAAUAAUAUAUUUUAAUUUUUUUGGGAUUAAUUAAUUUAAUAAAAUCAAUAAUUUUAUACGGUAAUUUUUAAGGUGGAAUUUAAAAUUUUUUAUAAAUUAAUAAGUUUUAAUGAAGUUAGGAAAUUUUCUUAAAAAACUAGGAUUAGAUACCCUAUUAUUUUAAAUAAAUAUUUUAUAACCUUAAUUAUUAUAAGUUAUGUUCUUAAAAAUUAAAGAAUUUGGCGGUAUUUUAGUCUUUUCAGAGGAAUCUGUUGUAUAAUUGAUAGUCCACGAUUAACUAAAUUUUUUUUAAGUAGUUUAUAUAUCGUCGUGAAUUUAAUAUAUUUUCAAAUUUUGAAUAUUAUAAUUAUUUUAUGAAAUUUUAUAUCAGAUCAAGGUAUAGCUUAUAAGAAAAUACUAAUGGAUUACAAUAAAAUUAUUUAAGGAUUAAUAUUUAUAAUAAAUAUAUGAAUAUGGAUUUGAAAGUAAUAUUAUUUAAAUUAAUAAUAUGAUUAAAGCUCUAAGAUAUGUACAUAUCGCCCGUCGCUUUCUUUUUAAAAAGAAAUAAGUCGUAACAAAGUAGAUUUACUGGAAAGUGAAUCUGGAA